RNAcentral lists this ribosomal RNA (492 nucleotides) under uncultured bacterium. Its description in RNAcentral is "partial 16S ribosomal RNA". It matches the Rfam family "Bacterial small subunit ribosomal RNA", at positions 29 to 507 of the family's 1533-position model. The record is from RNAcentral.
AGUGAACGCUGGCGGUAGGCCUAACACAUGCAAGUCGAACGGCAGCACAGUAAGAGCUUGCUCUUACGGGUGGCGAGUGGCGGACGGGUGAGGAAUACAUCGGAAUCUACUUUUUCGUGGGGGAUAACGUAGGGAAACUUACGCUAAUACCGCAUACGACCUACGGGUGAAAGCAGGGGAGCUUCGGCCCUUGCGCGAUUGAUUGAGCCGAUGUCGGAUUAGCUAGUUGGCGGGGUAAAGGCCCACCAAGGCGACGAUCCGUAGCUGGUCUGAGAGGAUGAUCAGGCACAGUGGAACUGAGACACGGUCCAGACUCCUACGGGAGGCAGCAGUGGGGAAUAUUGGACAAUGGGCGCAAGCCUGAUCCAGCCAUACCGCGUGGGUGAAGAAGGCCUUCGGGUUGUAAAGCCCUUUUGUUGGGAAAGAAAAGCAGCAGGUUAAUACCCCGCUGUUCUGACGGUACCCAAAGAAUAAGCACCGGCUAACUUCGUG